GCUGGGCGUGGUGGCGCAUGCCUGUAGUCCCAGUUACUUGGGAGGCUGAGGCAGGAGAAUCACUUGAACCAAGGAGGCAUAGGUUGCAGUGAGCCAAGAUCCCGCCACUGCACUCCAGCCUGGGCCACAGAGUGAAACUCUGUCUCAA
This 148-nucleotide non-coding RNA is filed under the name Pan troglodytes (chimpanzee). The record is from Rfam by way of RNAcentral. Lineage: Eukaryota; Metazoa; Chordata; Mammalia; Primates; Hominidae.